RNAcentral lists this ribosomal RNA (403 nucleotides) under uncultured Glomus. RNAcentral describes it as "SSU rRNA". It matches the Rfam family "Eukaryotic small subunit ribosomal RNA", at positions 569 to 978 of the family's 1831-position model. The record is from RNAcentral. Lineage: Eukaryota; Fungi; Glomeromycota; Glomeromycetes; Glomerales; Glomeraceae.
AGCAGCCGCGGUAAUUCCAGCUCCAAUAGCGUAUAUUAAAGUUGCUGCAGUUAAAAAAGCUCGUAGUUGAAUUUCGGGAUCAAUAUGUCGGUCGUGCCUCGGUACGCACUGGCUUAUUGGUUUCUCCCUUCUGACGAACCAUGAUGUCAUUAAUUUGGUGUCUUGGGAAAUCAGGACUGUUACUUUGAAAAAUUAGAGUGUUUAAAGCAGGCUCACGCUUGAAUACAUUAGCAUGGAAUAAUGAAAUAGGAUGUUUGAUUCUAUUUUGUUGGUUUCUAGGAUCGACGUAAUGAUUAAUAGGGAUAGUUGGGGGCAUUAGUAUUCAAUUGUCAGAGGUGAAAUUCUUGGAUUUAUUGAAGACUAACUACUGCGAAAGCAUUUGCCAAGGAUGUUUUCAUUAAUC